Molecule: ribosomal RNA, 253 nt
Filed under: uncultured bacterium
Lineage: Bacteria
Description: partial 16S ribosomal RNA
Rfam family: Bacterial small subunit ribosomal RNA
Source: RNAcentral
UACGAGGGGGGCUAGUGUUGUUCGGAAUCACUGGGCGUAAAGGGAGCGUAGGCGGGCUCUUAAGUUAGGUGUUUAAUCCCGGGGCCCAACCCCGGACAGGCACCUAAAACUGGGAGUCUUGAAUAGUGGAGAGGUCAGUGGAAUUGACGGUGUAGCGGUGAAAUGCAUAGAUAUCGUCAAGAGCACCGAUUGCGAAGGCAGCUUACUAGACUGUAACUGACGCUGAGGCACGAAAGCGUGGGGAUCAAACAGG